UAGCAACCAAUAAUAUCCAACAUCUCAAUUUUACUGGCAACCAAAAAGCAAAACUAUAGUUGUUAAUAGAUAUGUAUGUAGUCGUAAAAGUAUUAUUCUGAUUGAUAAUAAUUCUAAACAAAAACAAACAAAUUAUAGCGUAGCUGACCAUCACAAAUCUUUUAAAUUAACAUAGAUAUCCAAACCACUAUUCAAACCGACUAAUCCCAAAACGACCACUUAUAGCACGAGUAGCUCGGAGUGAUGCAUUUAAACCUCCACGGCCACAAGAGGUUUUAUCCCUACUUGGAAUUGAAACUGAGACCUCCAGACACUUUUGAACUCAAGCUCCAUGGCCACAAGAGGUUUUAUCCCUACUUGGAAUUGAAACUGAGAGAGGUUUUAUCCCUACUUGGAAUUGAAACCGAGACCUCCAGACACUUUUGAACUCAAGAACUCAAAGCUCAAACCAAAAGACAGCUGUUAAUCUUUGAAGGCUUGGUGCUAGCGGAAAAAAAUUUCAUUUGAUGAAAGAUGAUUUUGGAAGAACAAAAUGUGGUUUUGAAGAAACCUAGUAAUCUUAAUCAGUAUGGUGUUAUUCCCAGCCUGUUGUUUUGGUAAUCCAUUAAGCAAGCAACAGAUACUGGAGAAUGAAAGAUAAGAAACCAGAACAACCCUCACUUUUCAUUUAAAAAAAUGGAACAAAUAGUGUAGAUCAAGGUUUAGGAGAUAUAAACCAGUAGUUGCAAUUCAAAAUCAUAUAAAAAAACAAUUUACAGAAAUUUUUGUUUGAAUUAAUGACUGGGGGAAAAAAUGAAACGGGAAUGAGGCAUCUCAGAAUUCCUUACCCCAUGGUUUUCUUCGUUAUGAAUCGAAGUGCAAGGAUAACAAAGUUGAAAGUACCAUCACCACAUCACACAACUGUAAUGGAUGUUACUCAAGUAAUCAAACGGCUAUCAGCUUACCGUUAGCCGGAUUCGGAAUUAAUUUGAAAUCGGAUCUCAGGAAGAUAAUAUUAUCAUCAGUUUCCGGUCAGGAAAUUGCAGAUAGAUAACGCAGUUUCUUCAAAUACAUCAUCGAUCCGCCGUUUCAAUUCCGUAAUAAACUAAAAGGAAACAAAAAAAUGUAACUCAUAUCUGCAUGAUAUCUUAAGGAAAAGAACAAUUUCAGUUUUAGAAUGACAUUACACCGUAUGCUUAUAGCGGAAGCACCAUGAGGAUUAAGAACCCUAAUACUAAACAAUUCAAGGAGAUUUGAACUUUAUACAAAUUAACUUAAAAAAAAACGAUUUUCAUAAGUUUGUGAAAAUGGAAACGGAAAAAGGAUUGAGCAUCUCAGAAUUACUUUCCCCAUGGUUCUCUUCAUUAUGAAUCAAAGUGCAAGGAUAACGAAGUUAAAAGUAUCAUCAUCGAUGCUAAAUCCAAUACCACACCAUCAAUUUCAUGUUUAUCAAGAAAACAGAAUCAUAAAACCAUUAAAAAUCAAUAAUAACAAGCAUACACUACUGAACUUGGGUAGCAAACGAGUAAUCAGCUUACUGUGUGCUGGAUUCGUUAUAGAUCAGAAAUCAGAUCUCAGGAAGAUCAUAUUAUCAUCAGUUUCCGUCAAGGAAUUUACAGAUAGAUAACGCAGUUUCUUCAAAAACAUCAUCGAUCACCAGAUUCACAACACUAUAAACACUUACAAAUUCUGUAACAACCAAUAAAUAAGCAAAAAAAAA
Molecule: long non-coding RNA, 1699 nt
Organism: Cynara cardunculus var. scolymus (artichoke)
Lineage: Eukaryota; Viridiplantae; Streptophyta; Magnoliopsida; Asterales; Asteraceae
Exons: 2
Source: RefSeq, a predicted model, not a curated record